Mus musculus (house mouse) is the source of this 2558-nucleotide long non-coding RNA. RefSeq annotates it as predicted gene, 54305. NCBI's taxonomy places the organism in Eukaryota, Metazoa, Chordata, Mammalia, Rodentia, Muridae. The transcript has 2 exons. The record is from RefSeq and is a predicted model, not a curated record.
GUUUCCAGUCAUUCAAGGAAAGUGGAGCUGGCCAGUGUUCAGGAUGUGAGGUGACCAAGAUUCAGUGCCAGGCUGGACAGGGAAGUGAAAGUGACCAGAACAGAAAUCGGUGCCUAGAACCACGGGACAGAUUGUAUGCUGAGCGGCGUCUCAGGUCCCUCUUCCUCUCCAGCAUCCAUCCAUCACAAAUCUCCAGGCACCCCCAGUGCAGUUUGCCUUUUGCCCUCAUGCCUUGGAGAGAAGCCAGUUUAUAGGAAAGGAAGACGCCAAGGGUGAGCAUGGCUCUCCUCAGUACCUACUGGUCCCGGACGGUGGAGGGUGGGGAGCAGAGGUGGAGACAUGACUAUGCCUGAGGCAGAAUACAGCAUUAUUUCCAGAAUACGCCAAGGCUUGGCAAAUCUGGAGACUCACACGCCUCUGGGUCUGGGGUGGCCCUCCUCCACAGCACCUCCACAUGCUCCUGCCUGUUUGCUCGGCUCCCUGCAAAUAUUUGCCGUGCUGUUGUUCCUGGCUCUGGGCUGACAGUCAGUGUAGAAUGGGGGAGGGAAGCAAGCCUGGGGCCCACAGGACACAAACACAAGCAUGGACAAAUUGGCUACAAGUCCCUGAAUGCUUGACAGAAGGUCUAUUAAUUUCCUGCGGUGCCAUUUAACAAAUGAGUCAUUUACAGCCUACAGCUCUUCUCGAUGGAAGACACUGAAGGCAAGCCCGGAAGGAGAGCUGUGCCCUUGCGUGGUGGCCAGCUCUCAGGAGGAGCAGAUGCCAGCAGGGAUGAUGACAGAGAGGUGAAUCCAGCAAGCAGUCCUUGCUAGAGGGACCACACUCCUCCAGGUCUGGAGGCCUGACUGCAUCCAUAGUUCAGCUAUGACCCUAUUUCCCCUGUGCUUCUGAAAUCCAACCAGGGCUUACUUUCUCAUCCAAAACUGUGUCACAAAACGUGGCGGCUUUAAAAAUUGAUGUCAUAUGUCACACACAACACCAUAAAGUUACAGGACUGUAACUACACCCUUGGUUGCAGACUUCAUUUUGGCCUGUUGAUCGUUUGGUUGCUUGGUUGGCCGGUUGGAGACAGUCUCUCUGAGUAGCUCAGGCUGCCCCAGGACUUGUUUUGUACUCAAGGCUGGCCUCCAACUCAUAAUCUCCUCACCUCGGGCUUUCAAGGGCUGGGCUAAGUGUGUGCCAUGGCUUAAAGUCUGUAAUGCUUACUCUUGAUUUCAAACAUGAUGGGGUUUACAAUCACCCUGGAAACAAGUCUCUGGGUGCAUCCGAGAGAGUUUCCAGACUGUGUGAACUGAGGAGGGGAAGGCUCACUCUAAACGUGGACAGCACUGUCUUCUGGGUCUUAGGCUGAGUAAAACCUGACUUACAUCAGUAUUCAUUUCCCCUACUUCCCGCUGUAGGUGCAGCCAGACCAUGACAGCUAUGAUGGACUGAAGCCCAUCUUGGAGACAAAUAGACCUUCCCUUGAGUGGUUUUGAUACAACAGUGAGAAUAACAAUCCCCCCCCACACACACACACACACUUUAAUCCCAUCCACUCAAAUCUGGAGCCUAGUCUACAUUACUUGAGAAAAGACCAUGAAGAUUCUAUGGCAAGCCUCAAAUUAAAGACUGGUGAAUAUGAAUUAACCUUUCUCAUUGCUGGUACCAAAUCCUGACACAAUACAAUGAACUAACAGAAGGGUUUAUUCUGGCUCCCAAUUUGAGUAGACAGAUUAUGGUGGGAGGCUUGGCACGGUGGCAGGAGCAUGAGGCACACGGUCCGUUUCACCAAGCUCACUUACUUUCUCCUUUCUGCGUAGUCCAGAAUUCCAGCCCAUGCAAUGGUGCGUCCCAUAUUUGGUGGCUCUUCCGACCUCCAGAACCUACUCUAGAAAACCGCCCCCAGCCACGCCCAGAAGCUCGUGGCGUCAGUGGCUCUAGAUCCUGUUGAGUUGAUGAUAUCAGACAUCACACUCUGUAAAGCGCCACAAGAGAGAUCAGAUGAUAAAAGAGCAUCUAAGGACUCGGGAGAAGCUGGCCAGGGAGCCCAUGAUCAAAUCAUGCACAAAUACGGGUUCCACGUUUGGCUCUGGGAGGGGCUCAGCACUCCCGGCUGGCCUGUCAGGGGAUGCGGGCUGCCCUUUCUUUUGCUUCAUCCUGCAGCAAGGCAGAGACCCUCCCACCCACAAAAAUCUGCUCCAGCCUUGAGCUUGCAUCGCGAAAUCUACCCAACACUCUGAGGAACGACAGAGCCCCAGCAUACAGACACAUGAAAAAGCUCCGGAGAUGGUUUUUACUACAGUGCUUGACAAACACGUGUGAGGACCUGAGUUUGAUGCUCCUGACCCCAGGUAAGAAAGCUGGGUAUAAAAGUAUGUACUUGGACUUCCAGUUAUGUGCAAGCACACUCUGGAGAAUCCCUGGGUGAACGCUCCCUUACGUGGUAAAUAUCAUCUUAAAGAAUCAGGUGGGGACUGAAAGAGACACCUCAGCCCUUAAAAAGUACAUCCUGCCGUCACAGAGGACCCUCAUUUGGUUCCCAGCAGCCAGGCUAGGUGGCUCUCAACUGCCUGUUA